RNAcentral lists this ribosomal RNA (253 nucleotides) under uncultured bacterium. RNAcentral describes it as "partial 16S ribosomal RNA". It matches the Rfam family "Bacterial small subunit ribosomal RNA", at positions 524 to 776 of the family's 1533-position model. The record is from RNAcentral.
GACGAAGGGGGCUAGCGUUGUUCGGAAUUACUGGGCGUAAAGCGCGUGUAGGCGGUUGCCCAAGUCGGGUGUGAAAGCCUUGAGCUCAACUCAAGAAAUGCACUCGGUACUGGGUGACUAGAGGACCGGAGAGGAUAGUGGAAUUCCCAGUGUAGUGGUGAAAUUCGUAGAUAUUCGGAGGAACACCAGUGGCGAAGGCGGCUCACUGGUCCAUUACUGACGCUGAGGUGCGAAAGCGUGGGGAGCAAACAGG